UACGGGGGGUGCAAGCGUUAUCCGGAAUUAUUGGGCGUAAAGCGUCCGCAGGUGGUCUUUCAAGUCUGCCGUCAAAGCGUGCGGCUUAACCGCAUACCGGCGGUGGAAACUGUGAGACUAGAGAGCAGUAGGGGUAGCGGGAAUUCCUGGUGUAGCGGUGAAAUGCGUAGAUAUCAGGAGGAACACCGAUGGCGAAAGCAGCUUUCUAGACGAUUCCUGACCCUGAGGCACGAAGGCCAGGGGAGCAAACGGG
Molecule: ribosomal RNA, 253 nt
Filed under: uncultured bacterium
Lineage: Bacteria
Description: partial 16S ribosomal RNA
Rfam family: Bacterial small subunit ribosomal RNA
Source: RNAcentral